Molecule: ribosomal RNA, 304 nt
Filed under: Marinobacter salinus
Lineage: Bacteria; Pseudomonadati; Pseudomonadota; Gammaproteobacteria; Pseudomonadales; Marinobacteraceae
Description: bacterial SSU rRNA
Rfam family: Bacterial small subunit ribosomal RNA
Source: RNAcentral
UCUGCCUGGUAGUGGGGGAUAGCCCGGGGAAACCCGGAUUAAUACCGCAUACGCCCUACGGGGGAAAGGAGGGGAUCUUCGGACCUUGCGCUAUUGGAUGAGCCUAAGUCGGAUUACCUAGUUGGUGGGGUAAAGGCCUACCAAGGCGACGAUCCGUAGCUGGUCUGAGAGGAUGAUCAGCCACAUCGGGACUGAGACACGGCCCGAACUCCUACGGGAGGCAGCAGUGGGGAAUAUUGGACAAUGGGGGCAACCCUGAUCCAGCCAUGCCGCGUGUGUGAAGAAGGCUUUCGGGUUGUAAAGC